AGAAGAAAGACAUCGAUGCGGAUGUCUUCUCCUUUUCGGCGGCGGGAAAUCGAUAAAUGUUUUUUGGGAGCAAAAGAAAUGCAAAAUCUGUCUGUCUCCCUCCAAAACAAAUCCCAUAAACCUUCACCCUGUCUUUGUCUCUUAAAUUAAAAAAAAAAAAAAAAUCAUUUGAUCAAGAGGAAAGCGAGGGAGCAAAAGCAAAUCAAUUGUUUUGCUCUCUCUACAAAAAUGUCAAUUUUGCAAAAACCCAAGCUCCAAGAAGAAGAAGAUGUAGACAUUAACAACAUCGAUCACGCCGCAACCGCUACUCCGCUCCGCUACGUGUCACUGGAGCGAGUUUACUCAGUUAGCGCUUCCAAUGUCAUGUCCAAGAAAGUUAAAGCCAGAAAGCUUCACCCCGACCUCCAUACUCAUCCCCCCAUUCUUCAUGUUUACUCCCGUAAGACGCAACAUUCCCCUCACACGCCCUCCUUUUAUGACAGGCUGCUUGCGCAAACGGCUGUUAAGACUGAAAUUUUGGAUGCCAUUGAGGUUAAGGUGAAGAAAAGGAGGAGAAUUGGGACUACUGAGCUGCUCAAUUUAGGGAUUCGCGAUAAUCAUGAUUCUUCUAGGGUUUUCACUGCUCCAAGGUUGAGAGAUUCUCGCAAUUUUACUGCUAAUCUUAAUACUAAUAAUGGGAGUUUAAACAGAAAGAAGAAGAAACCCUUACACAAUUCUCAUCAAAUUAUGUCUUCCUCUCCUGCUACUAAAAAAUGGGUCAGGUUAAAAGUGGAUGGCGUUGAUCCAAAAAGGUUCAUUGGUUUGACAUGCAAGGUUUUUUGGCCAUUGGAUGCUGACUGGUAUUCUGGACGUGUUGUUGGCUACACAUCGGAGACUAAACAGCAUCAUGUUGAAUAUCAAGAUGGAGAUAAAGAGCAUUUGAAUCUUUCAAAUGAGAAAAUUAGUUUUUGUAUUUCUCGUGAGGAGAUGGAGCAGUUGGAUUUGAGUCUUAGUGUAAAAAGUUUAGAUGGCGAUAGCUAUGAUUUUGACGAGAUGGUUGCAUUAGCUGCUGUUUUGGAUGACUGCCAAGAUCUCAAGCCUGGGGAUAUUAUAUGGGCAAAACUUACUGGUCAUGCCAUGUGGCCAGCAAUUGUUGUUAAUAAAUCACUUAUUGGGGAGCACAAAGGCCUAAAUAAAAAUUCUGGAGAAAGAUUUGUGUUUGUGCAGUUCUUUGGUACUCAUGAUUUUGCAAGAAUUAAACCGAAGCAAGUGAUCUCAUUUCUUAGAGGACUGCUUUCUUCUUUUCACCUUAAGUGCAAGAAACCCCAUUUCAAUCAAAGCAUGGAAGAAGCGAAAAUGUAUCUGAGUGCACAAAAGCUUCCAAGAAGAAUGCUACAGCUCCAAAAUAGCAUGAAUGCUGGUAGCUGCAAGAGUGCAAGCAGUGAGGAUGAAGGAAGUACAGAUUCAGGGGAAGACUGCAUAGAAAAUGAAGCAAUGCAAAGAAUACUGAAGGGUCUUGAAACUUCUCCAUACGUGAUUGGGGACUUGCAAAUAAUUAGACUUGGGAAAAUUGUUAAGGACUCAGAAUAUUUUCAGGAUGAUAAAUUUAUCUGGCCUGAAGGCUACGUUGCCCUGAGGAAGUUCACUUCAGUAACAGAUCCAAAUGCAUGUACGGUUUAUAAGAUGGAAGUACUCAGAGAUGCUGAGUCUAAGAUUCGGCCUCUCUUUAGAGUGACAUCGGAUAACGGAGAGCAGAUCAGAGGAUCUUCUCCAUCUGCUUGCUGGGACAAAAUAUACAAAAGGAUAAAGAAAUUGCAAUAUAGUGAUUCCAAUGGUUUUAGUGCAGAAGGUGCUGUGGACAGAUUUUAUAAAUCUGGUUCUGAUAUGUUUGGUUUUUCUAAUCCUGAGGUUAUAAAACUUAUAAAGGGAUUAUCAAAACCCAGACUUUAUUCCAAAAUGUCUUUUUGCAAAGUAACUUCAGAAAAAUUUCAGGACUUACCUAUUGGUUACAGACCUGUCCGAGUUGAUUGGAAAGAUUUGGACAAGUGCAAUGUCUGCCAUAUGGAUGAGGAAUAUGAAAACAAUCUGUUCCUGCAGUGUGAUAAAUGCCGAAUGAUGGUCCAUGCCAGAUGUUAUGGAGAAUUAGAACCUAUAGAUGGUGUAUUAUGGUUGUGCAACUUAUGCCGUCCUGCCGCCCCUGACCCUACACCACCCUGUUGCCUUUGUCCUAUAAUAGGUGGUGCUAUGAAGCCUACAACUGAUGGGCGUUGGGCGCAUUUGGCUUGUGCCAUAUGGAUACCGGAAACUUGCUUGUCUGAUAUCAAGAGGAUGGAACCUAUUGAUGGGCUGAAUAGAAUAAACAAGGAUCGCUGGAAGCUUUUAUGUAGCAUUUGUGGCGUAGCUUAUGGAGCUUGCAUCCAAUGUUCAAAUAAUACUUGCCGGGUGGCAUAUCAUCCUCUAUGUGCACGCGCAGCUGCCCUGUGUGUGGAGCUUGCUGAUGAGGAAAGACUCCAUCUCCUUACUGUUGAUGAUGAUUUAGAAAAUCAGUGCAUUCGCCUACUUUCCUUCUGCAAGAGGCACAAGCAGCCAUCCAAUGAACGCCCAGUUACAGAAGAUCGAAUUGGCCGGAUUACUCAUCGAUAUUCUGAUUAUACCCCCCCUUGUAAUCCUUCUGGCUGUGCUCGCAGUGAGCCCUACAAUUAUUUUGGAAGAAGAGGACAGAAAGAACCUCAAGCCCUUGCUGCAGCAUCCUUGAAGCGCUUAUUUGUUGAGAAUCAACCUUACUUGGUUGGUGGUUUCAGUCAACAUCAAUCAUCAAGAGUUGCAUUAACCUCAAAUGGAGUUGACAGCUCUAAAUUCUCUUUUGAUCUGCAAAGGCUGAAGGCUUCUCAGCUUGACGCUCCUAACAACAUUCUCUCUAUGGCUGAGAAGUACAAAUACAUGCGACAGACCUUCCGGAAGAGACUAGCUUUUGGAAAAUCGGGAAUACAUGGAUUUGGUAUCUUUGCAAAGCAUCCACAUAGGGCUGGAGAUAUGGUAAUCGAAUACACUGGGGAACUUGUUAGGCCACCUAUAGCUGACAGAAGGGAACACUUCAUAUACAAUUCAUUAGUGGGUGCUGGGACUUACAUGUUUCGCAUUGAUGAUAAUAGUGUUAUUGAUGCCACAAGGGCCGGAAGCAUAGCUCAUCUGAUUAAUCACUCAUGCGAGCCCAAUUGCCAUUCGAGAGUAAUAAACGUUAAUGGUGAGCAACAUAUAAUUAUAUUUGCAAAGAGAGAUAUCAAAAGAUGGCAGGAGCUCACUUAUGAUUAUAGAUUUUUCUCAAUUGAUGAACGACUGGCAUGCUAUUGUGGCUUCCCUAGAUGCCGUGGUGUGGUUAAUGACACUGAAGCAGAGGAGCAAGUGGCAAAGGUCUAUGCCCUUCGAAGUGAAUUGACAGACUGCAAAGAAGAAUAAAAGAACUAUUGCGAAGUCCAAAUGAUUCAGUGACCCCUUCUUUCCUAGUUUCGGUUCAAAUUUGUAUGUCUCUUAUGCAGGCAAAUGAGAAGUUUUGCAGACUCGGAAAUUUGUUAAGGUUUCAUAAAUUCUCGGCCAAUACGGGUUCAGACACGACGGACAAUAUUGUCAAAAGAUUGAGACCUAGAUGCGGAGGAGACAAUGCAAAUUAACUAUAUAUGAAUAAGAAAUCACCAGGGCGUAUGUGAGUUGGUAAGAGAGUCUUUUAAGUGAAGACAUGGGUUCAAACCAUAUUCAUGUAUGCAGCAGUUUAAAAUUUAGGAAUAGAGUUUUGCCUUCCUUAAGAGAUCUGGAAAUGAGUCUGGAUGUGGAAGGUUUAUAAGUAUGGCUCCAUAGUUGGACCCUGGAAUACGAGAAAUUCAUGGAAUUAAAGAGUAAUUAUUAAGUGGUUUUUUUCUUUGUGCUUAAAUUGAAGAGAGGUAAUAUAGUAGAAUAGGAUUGGAGAACGGGUUGUAUUUUUGUUUUAAAAAUGAGGGGGUUGUGUUGAUGCUUAAAGAAAAAACAUAAAAAAAGAGCCUUUGGUUUUUGUUCAGAAAAAAAAAAACCAUAACCGUUUAAAAAAUUACUUGUCGUGUCCUCUGAAGGGUACCCGGCGUGUCCUCUGACAUGUACCAUGAAUGCUUAUUGUUCCGUGUCCCAGCGAGUUUCCGGUUCGUCCCCAUAAUCCAUGCAUUUCGAGAAAUAUGAGUGGUUCAUAGUUCAAUCAUGGCUGGCUUAAUCCUUUCAAUUUCAUCCCAUACUUUCCAGGGUAUCAUAAUACUUCCCAACUCUAAUUGAUUUAGAUAAUAAUUGUUACUUGUGAAUGCAAGUACUAACUGCUAACGACAUUUCAAAUUUGUGGGAUAAGAACAUUCAUCUUUAUAGGUGAUAUGUUGAAUGGAAACUCGUGGAGUCUUAUGUUUUGACGUUUUGUUUAUUUUUUUGUAAAUAUUUUUGAAACUUUAUAUUUAUAUCGUAUUCUUGUGAAAAAUAUUGUUUUUCGAUUUUCUAUGUUGGCAUGUUUGGUAUGAAUGGUGAAUAGGUUGUGCAGUAUAAGAAUGCAGUUUGUAAAGAAAGUGGAAAAAGGCAGUUAGCUUUUACUGGUUGCAGUAUAUAGUAACCGGAUAUAAAUCCUUAGGCAUAAUUCAUUACUGAUCACAUUGCUAGUCUUUUCUUAAUUGGAAAUAGGAAGUGUUUUUUGCUAUAUUCAUUUACUUAUUUGUAGAGUUUGAGCCUUUCUUAGGUGUUCAAUUUUUUAGAGUUAGUGUUUGAGAAAUGUUUAAUGCUGUAUGUUUCAUGAAAUAGAAUUGUUGAGCGGAAACUUGUGGAGUCGACUGUUUCGACAUGUGACAGGAAAUGUUUCCAAAAAAUGUCAUUUAUCUGUUCUCUAUUUCUUGCAAUCUCGAUUUCAGGGAGCGAUAUAAUAUGUAAGGCCCUGACCUGGUUCUGCUUGGGAGUCCUGCGUGCAGUAUCGAAGUUUUGUAGCCGAUAACUUAUUUGGAAAUUCAUCUUAUGUAGGCGGAUGGUGAUGAUAUAAAAGGAGAAAUGUUGUAUUAUGUAGGAGGAGCAAAACAGGCAUGGCGUCCUUCACUCAUCGCCAAUUUUGUGCCUCUCUCUUUUUCUUUACAAUAUUUUUUUUAAAAUUAAAAUAGCUGUCUAAUUCGCUUCGCAAUUUAAUCAACUGCUAGGAUCAAUGUCUGCAUGUUUCACCAAUUUAACUGCUUCAAACCUUAUUCAGCCUCAUCAAAUAAUCGCUGAUAUCCCAUUACAAUUCCCGUCUUUGUUUCUCAAAGAGACCAGUAACUAGUUUUUAGUUGAACCAAUCCCAUUUUUUUAAAUUAUUCACAAGGCUGUGCCUUCUUCUGUAUACUAAAUUUUCAUUAUGUGGAUGUUUUUUUUU
Molecule: RNA transcript, 5374 nt
Organism: Mercurialis annua (annual mercury)
Lineage: Eukaryota; Viridiplantae; Streptophyta; Magnoliopsida; Malpighiales; Euphorbiaceae
Gene name: histone-lysine N-methyltransferase ATX2-like
Exons: 27
Source: RefSeq, a predicted model, not a curated record